Molecule: ribosomal RNA, 648 nt
Filed under: uncultured archaeon
Lineage: Archaea
Description: bacterial SSU rRNA
Rfam family: Archaeal small subunit ribosomal RNA
Source: RNAcentral
GCCUAAGCGUCCGUAGCCUGAUCUAUAAGUUUCCGGUUAAAUCCACAUGCUCAACAUUUGGGCUGCCGGAAAAACUGUAGAUCUAGGGAGUGGGAGAGGUAGACGGUAUUCGGUAGGAAGGGGUAAAAUCCUUUGAUCUAUUGAGGACCACCUGUGGCGAAGGCGGUCUACCAGAACACGUUCGACGGUGAGGGAUGAAAGCUGGGGGAGCAAACCGGAUUAGAUACCCGGGUAGUCCCAGCCGUAAACGAUGCAGACUCGGUGAUGCGCUGGCUUGUGGCCAGUGCAGUGCCGCAGGGAAGCCGUUAAGUUUGCCGCCUGGGAAGUACGUACGCAAGUAUGAAACUUAAAGGAAUUGGCGGGGGAGCACCACAAGGGGUGAAGCCUGCGGUUCAAUUGGAGUCAACGCCAGAAAUCUUACCCGAAGAGACAGCAGAAUGAAGGUCAAGCUGGAGACUUUACCAGACAAGCUGAGAAGUGGUGCAUGGCCGUCGCCAGCUCGUGCCGUGAGAUGUCCUGUUAAGUCAGGUAACGAGCGAGAUCCCUGCCUCUAGUUGCCACCAUUACUCUCAGGAGUAGUGGGGCGAAUUAGCGGGACCGCCGCAGUUAAUGCGGAGGAAGGAAGGGGCCACGGCAGGUCAGUAUGCC